Acipenser ruthenus (sterlet) is the source of this 1021-nucleotide long non-coding RNA. RefSeq lists it as uncharacterized. The transcript is spliced from 3 exons. The record is from RefSeq and is a predicted model, not a curated record. NCBI's taxonomy places the organism in Eukaryota, Metazoa, Chordata, Actinopteri, Acipenseriformes, Acipenseridae.
AAGAAAGAUGACAAGCACAUCCUCCGGCGGUCUUCAUGUUUUCAAACGUGCUGUAGUCCACUGAUCCACACGCACAGUAUCAAUCGUGUUAUUGUUGCUCAAGUUGCCCGUCUUCAAACGGCACAUAUGCUGCAGGUCUACUUUACGCUGGGCACUCUGGUGGUGGCGACGCUGGCGCUGGGCACUCCGGCAGUGGCGACGUUGGAGGUUGCGAUGCUGGGUGUCCCGGCAGUGGCGACGCAGGCGCUGGGCACUCCAGUGCCAAUAAUUUUGGAGAUUUGUAUCUUGUCCUGACUUAUUACGCUCCAGUGGAACGUCUGCCGAUGUGUCUUCUGAUUGAGGCGUUAUGGCUGCGGUGGAGUUUGUUUGUGGUAGUUUCUUUUAAAAAGCCACAGUUGAAUAUCAAAGUGAAUAUCAGUUUGUUUUUUACUUUCAGAAUAAAAGGGUGCUCUCUAAUUUGGCACUGGAUUAAAAGAGCAGUGCAUCUGACUCAUUGGUUUUAUUGCAUAUUGAAGCAUUUAAGUACAAUACAGAAACCUGGACCCCAUAUGGCAUUUGGAAAUUAAGUGGAACUAAAUUUAGGACAAAGUGACAAAGACACUUUUCACACAGAGACUGGGGGUAUGAAUGGGUCUCCUAGUCAUGUUGUUCAGGCAGAAUCCUUUAAGAUCCAAUCUGACUACAUUUUUAAAUCAAUCAGCUACUCGGAACUGGACGAGAUUAGAAGGGAUGAAUGGCCUUCUCUCAUUCGUAAAUGUUCUUAUCUUUUAAGUCUCUCAUUUGAAAUUCACGCAGUCUGCUUAUUCCUUUUAAAAACUAAAAGAAACAUAAUAACUUAAAUGACUUAUUGAAAUGUCUUGAUUCAUAUAAUUAUGUUAUUGGGUGGUUGUGUACUCUCCCCCCGAUUGAUAAGUGUGAAGGACCCCCUUUGGUCCCAUUAAGAGAAUGUGCUGAUCGUGCACGUACAGGAUUAGACAUUAACCUGGCGGUGUCAAUGAUUACUUACCGCAGGUCAUGUAGG